RNAcentral lists this ribosomal RNA (646 nucleotides) under Priestia flexa. RNAcentral's name for it is "bacterial SSU rRNA". It matches the Rfam family "Bacterial small subunit ribosomal RNA", at positions 69 to 685 of the family's 1533-position model. Lineage: Bacteria; Bacillati; Bacillota; Bacilli; Caryophanales; Bacillaceae. The record is from RNAcentral.
AAAGAUUAAAUUAGUAAAAUAGCUUCUAUGACGUUAGCGGCAGACGGGUGAGUAACACGUGGGCAACCUGCCUGUAAGACUGGGAUAACUCCGGGAAACCGGAGCUAAUACCGGAUAACAUUUUCUCUUGCAUAAGAGAAAAUUGAAAGAUGGUUUCGGCUAUCACUUACAGAUGGGCCCGCGGUGCAUUAGCUAGUUGGUGAGGUAACGGCUCACCAAGGCAACGAUGCAUAGCCGACCUGAGAGGGUGAUCGGCCACACUGGGACUGAGACACGGCCCAGACUCCUACGGGAGGCAGCAGUAGGGAAUCUUCCGCAAUGGACGAAAGUCUGACGGAGCAACGCCGCGUGAGUGAUGAAGGCUUUCGGGUCGUAAAACUCUGUUGUUAGGGAAGAACAAGUACAAGAGUAACUGCUUGUACCUUGACGGUACCUAACCAUAAAGCCACGGCUAACUACGUGCCAGCAGCCGCGGUAAUACGUAGGUGGCAAGCGUUAUCCGGAAUUAUUGGGCGUAAAGCGCGCGCAGGCGGUUUCUUAAGUUCUGAUGUGAAAAGCCCACGGGCUCAACCGUGUAGGGUCAUUGGAAACUGGGGGAACUUGAGUGCAGAAGAGAAAAAGCGGGAAUUCCACGUGUAGCUGUGAA